AUGCAGUCGAGGGGUAACAGGGAGUGCUUGCACUCUGCUGACGACCGGCGCACGGGUGCGUAACGCGUAUGCAAUCUACCUCUUACUGAGGGAUAGCCCAUGGAAACGUGGAUUAAUACCUCAUAGUAUUAUAGACUGGCCUCAGUUUAUGAUUAAAGGUUACGGUAAGAGAUGAGCAUGCGUCCUAUUAGCUAGAUGGUAAGGUAACGGCUUACCAUGGCUACGAUAGGUAGGGGUCCUGAGAGGGAGAUCCCCCACACUGGUACUGAGACACGGACCAGACUCCUACGGGAGGCAGCAGUGAGGAAUAUUGGACAAUGGGCGAGAGCCUGAUCCAGCCAUGCCGCGUGCAGGAAGACGGCCCUAUGGGUUGUAAACUGCUUUUACAGAGGAAGAACCCUCCUUACGUGUAAGGAGCUGACGGUACUCUAUGAAUAAGGAUCGGCUAACUCCGUGCCAGCAGCCGCGGUAAUACGGAGGAUCCAAGCGUUAUCCGGAAUCAUUGGGUUUAAAGGGUCCGUAGGCGGGUCUAUAAGUCAGUGGUGAAAGUCUGCAGCUUAACUGUAGAACUGCCAUUGAUACUGUAGACCUUGAAUUAGUAUGAAGUGGUUUAGAAUGUGUAGUGUAGCGGUGAAAUGCAUAGAUAUUACACAGAAUACCGAUUGCGAAGGCAGAUCACUAAUACUAUAUUGACGCUGAUGGACGAAAGCGUAGUAGCGAACAGGGAUUAGAUACCCUGGUAGUCUA
This 747-nucleotide ribosomal RNA is filed under the name Zunongwangia profunda. RNAcentral describes it as "bacterial SSU rRNA". It matches the Rfam family "Bacterial small subunit ribosomal RNA", at positions 55 to 797 of the family's 1533-position model. Lineage: Bacteria; Pseudomonadati; Bacteroidota; Flavobacteriia; Flavobacteriales; Flavobacteriaceae. The record is from RNAcentral.